UUAAGCGACUAAGCGUACACGGUGGAUGCCCUGGCAGUCAGAGGCGAUGAAGGACGUGCUAAUCUGCGAAAAGCGCCGGCGAGGUGAUAUGAACCCUUGACCCGGCGAUGUCCGAAUGGGGAAACCCAGUGCAAUCCGUUGCACUAUCGUUAACUGAAUACAUAGGUUAACGAGGCGAACCGGGGGAACUGAAACAUCUAAGUACCCCGAGGAAAAGAAAUCAACCGAGAUUCCCCCAGUAGCGGCGAGCGAACGGGGAGCAGCCCGGAGUCUGAAUCAGCUUGUGUGUUAGUGGAACGGUCUGGAAAGUCCGACGGUACAGGGUGAUAGUCCCGUACACGAAAAUGCACAUGCUGUGAACUCGAAGAGUAGGGCGGGACACGUGGUAUCCUGUCUGAAUAUGGGGGGACCAUCCUCCAAGGCUAAAUACUCCUGACUGACCGAUAGUGAACCAGUACCGUGAGGGAAAGGCGAAAAGAACCCCGGCGAGGGGAGUGAAAAAGAACCUGAAACCGUGUACGUACAAGCAGUGGGAGCCUCUUUAUGGGGUGACUGCGUACCUUUUGUAUAAUGGGUCAGCGACUUAUAUUCUGUAGCAAGGUUAACCGUAUAGGGGAGCCGAAGGGAAACCGAGUCUUAACUGGGCGUUAAGUUGCAGGGUAUAGACCCGAAACCCGGUGAUCUAGCCAUGGGCAGGUUGAAGGUUGGGUAACACUAACUGGAGGACCGAACCGACUAAUGUUGAAAAAUUAGCGGAUGACCUGUGGCUGGGGGUGAAAGGCCAAUCAAACCGGGAGAUAGCUGGUUCUCCCCGAAAGCUAUUUAGGUAGCGCCUCGUGAACUCAUCUUCGGGGGUAGAGCACUGUUUCGGCUAGGGGGCCAUCCCGGCUUACCAACCCGAUGCAAACUACGAAUACCGAAGAAUGUUAUCACGGGAGACACACGGCGGGUGCUAACGUCCGUCGUGAAGAGGGAAACAACCCAGACCGCCAGCUAAGGUCCCAAAGUCAUGGUUAAGUGGGAAACGAUGUGGGAAGGCACAGACAGCCAGGAUGUUGGCUUAGAAGCAGCCAUCAUUUAAAGAAAGCGUAAUAGCUCACUGGUCGAGUCGGCCUGCGCGGAAGAUGUAACGGGGCUAAACCAUGCACCGAAGCUGCGGCAGCGACACUUAUGUGUUGUUGGGUAGGGGAGCGUUCUGUAAGCCGUUGAAGGUGUGCUGUGAGGCAUGCUGGAGGUAUCAGAAGUGCGAAUGCUGACAUAAGUAACGAUAAAGCGGGUGAAAAGCCCGCUCGCCGGAAGACCAAGGGUUCCUGUCCAACGUUAAUCGGGGCAGGGUGAGUCGACCCCUAAGGCGAGGCCGAAAGGCGUAGUCGAUGGGAAACAGGUUAAUAUUCCUGUACUUGGUGUUACUGCGAAGGGGGGACGGAGAAGGCUAUGUCAGCCGGGCGACGGUUGUCCCGGUUUAAGCAUGUAGGCGGAGGUUCCAGGUAAAUCCGGUACCUUGUUAACGCUGAGGUGUGAUGACGAGGCACUACGGUGCUGAAGUGAUAAAUGCCCUGCUUCCAGGAAAAGCCUCUAAGCAUCAGGUAACACGAAAUCGUACCCCAAACCGACACAGGUGGUCAGGUAGAGAAUACCAAGGCGCUUGAGAGAACUCGGGUGAAGGAACUAGGCAAAAUGGUGCCGUAACUUCGGGAGAAGGCACGCUGAUGUGUAGGUGAAGCCCCUGCGGGUGGAGCUGAAAUCAGUCGAAGAUACCAGCUGGCUGCAACUGUUUAUUAAAAACACAGCACUGUGCAAACACGAAAGUGGACGUAUACGGUGUGACGCCUGCCCGGUGCCGGAAGGUUAAUUGAUGGGGUUAGCGGCAACGCGAAGCUCUUGAUCGAAGCCCCGGUAAACGGCGGCCGUAACUAUAACGGUCCUAAGGUAGCGAAAUUCCUUGUCGGGUAAGUUCCGACCUGCACGAAUGGCGUAAUGAUGGCCAGGCUGUCUCCACCCGAGACUCAGUGAAAUUGAACUCGCUGUGAAGAUGCAGUGUACCCGCGGCAAGACGGAAAGACCCCGUGAACCUUUACUAUAGCUUGACACUGAACACUGGUCCUUGAUGUGUAGGAUAGGUGGGAGGCUUUGAAGCGUGGACGCCAGUCUGCGUGGAGCCAACCUUGAAAUACCACCCUUUAAUGGCUGGUGUUCUAACGUAGACCCGUAAUCCGGGUUGCGGACAGUGUCUGGUGGGUAGUUUGACUGGGGCGGUCUCCUCCCAAAGAGUAACGGAGGAGCACGAAGGUUGGCUAAUCCUGGUCGGACAUCAGGAGGUUAGUGCAAUGGCAUAAGCCAGCUUGACUGCGAGCGUGACGGCGCGAGCAGGUGCGAAAGCAGGUCAUAGUGAUCCGGUGGUUCUGAAUGGAAGGGCCAUCGCUCAACGGAUAAAAGGUACUCCGGGGAUAACAGGCUGAUACCGCCCAAGAGUUCAUAUCGACGGCGGUGUUUGGCACCUCGAUGUCGGCUCAUCACAUCCUGGGGCUGAAGUAGGUCCCAAGGGUAUGGCUGUUCGCCAUUUAAAGUGGUACGCGAGCUGGGUUUAGAACGUCGUGAGACAGUUCGGUCCCUAUCUGCCGUGGGCGCUGGAGAAUUGAGGGGGGCUGCUCCUAGUACGAGAGGACCGGAGUGGACGCAUCACUGGUGUUCGGGUUGUCAUGCCAAUGGCACUGCCCGGUAGCUAAAUGCGGAAGAGAUAAGUGCUGAAAGCAUCUAAGCACGAAACUUGCCCCGAGAUGAGUUCUCCCUGAGACUUUAAGUCUCCUGAAGGAACGUUAAAGACUAUGACGUUGAUAGGUCGGGUGUGUAAGCGCAGCGAUGCGUUGAGCUAACCGAUACUAAUGAACCGUGAGGCUUAACCUU
This 2904-nucleotide ribosomal RNA is filed under the name Enterobacter sp. BIDMC 27. RNAcentral describes it as "bacterial LSU rRNA". It matches the Rfam family "Bacterial large subunit ribosomal RNA". Lineage: Bacteria; Pseudomonadati; Pseudomonadota; Gammaproteobacteria; Enterobacterales; Enterobacteriaceae. The record is from RNAcentral.